AUGAGCUGCCCCUCCUCCUCCUCCUGCUGCGGCGUCUCUCCUCCGGUCCUCGCCAAUCCCCGGGGUGAAUUCGCUGCUAGUUGCUCCACAAGAACAACUCAGAAGGCACAUUUCUUCGGUUCAAAGCCAUCCUCCCAAAUCAUCUACAGCCCAACAUCAUCGCAUUUGUCCCGGAGAUCAGUAAUCGCCUUGGCCGGAAAGCAAUCUUGGGACAUCGGCAGGUUUGCCAAGACUCUGUUUUUCUUCAACGGGCCUCCAAACCCUCUCAAGAUUGUGGAGUCCAUAAUGAGCAGCAUCACAGCCUCUGCUCCCACCGAGGCGCCGAAGAAAGCAGAGACUUCUGAUGUGGUGCUUGUCACUGGAGCUACCGGCGGUGUCGGGCGAAGAGUUGUCGAUGUCCUACGGAAGAAGGGGGUGCCUGUCCGAGUAUUGGUUAGAAAUGCGGAGAAGGCGAGGACAAUGUUGGGGCCAGAUGUGGACUUGAUCAUAGGUGAUGUUACAAAGGGAGACACGCUCGAUCCUAAGUACUUCAAAGGCAUUAAGAAAGUCAUCAAUGCAGUUUCAGUCAUAGUAGGGCCAAAGGAAGGUGAUACACCGGACAGGCAGAAGUAUUCGCAAGGCAUCAAGUUUUUUGAACCCGAGAUCAAAGGACCUUCACCUGAAAUGGUGGAGUACCUUGGUAUGCAAAACUUGAUUAAUGCUGUAAAGGAAAGUGUUGGGCUGAGCGAAGGGAAACUGCUAUUUGGAUUCAAAGGCAAUUUAUGUGGAAAGUUUGUGUGGGGAGCACUUGACGAUGUUGUAAUGGGCGGUGUUAGUGAAAGUGCAUUCCAAAUCCAACCAACAGGAAGUGAAACUGGUGAAGCAACUGGAUUAUUCAAAGGUACCGUGUCUACUUCAAAUAACGGUGGCUUCACUAGUAUAAGGACAAAGAAUUUUACCGUCCCCGAGGACCUGUCGGCAUACGAUGGUGUUGAACUACGAGUUAAGGGCGAUGGCCGGAGGUACAAACUUAUCAUAAGAACUAGCUACGAAUGGGAUACUAUUGGCUACACUGCAAGCUUCAACACCACAAAGGGCGAAUGGCAAAGCGUUAGAAUACCUUUCUCUUCUCUGAUACCGGUAUUUCGUGCCCGUACCGCAACUGAUGCUCCACCCUUUGAUGCAAGCAAUAUCACUGCACUGCAGCUCAUGUUCAGCAAGUUUGAAUACGACGGAAAGCUCAACCCAACAUUUGCAGAAGGUCAAUUUGAGCUUCCGUUUUCAAGCAUUAGAGCAUACAUAAAUGAGCCAAUUACUCCAAGGUUUGUUCAUGUGAGCUCUGCAGGAGUUACAAGACCUGAAAGGCCAGGGCUAGAUCUAAGCAAACAACCCCCCGCCGUCCGCAUGAACAAAGAGCUUGGUUCCAUUCUAACUUACAAGUUGAAGGGAGAGGAUUUAAUUCGGGAAAGUGGUGUUCCCUACACUAUCGUGCGGCCAUGUGCUCUAACUGAGGAACCAGCUGGAGCUGACCUCAUAUUUGAACAGGGGGAUAAUAUCACUGGAAAGAUAUCACGGGAAGAAGUUGCCCGCCUUUGUGUCGCGGCUCUAGCAAGCCCGAGUGCAGUGGGGAAGACUUUUGAGGUCAAGAGCACCGUUCCAUUUAGUGAACCGUUUGUGAUCGAUCCUUCGAACCCUCCUCCUGAGAAGGACUAUGAAGUGUACUUCAAAGAGCUCAAAGACGGCAUCACGGGUAAAGAGGCUCUUGAAGGAACACCUGCUCUAGUCUGA
This 1767-nucleotide ribosomal RNA is filed under the name Triticum aestivum (bread wheat). RNAcentral's name for it is "partial small subunit ribosomal RNA". Lineage: Eukaryota; Viridiplantae; Streptophyta; Magnoliopsida; Poales; Poaceae. The record is from RNAcentral.